Armigeres subalbatus is the source of this 575-nucleotide long non-coding RNA. RefSeq lists it as uncharacterized. The transcript is spliced from 3 exons. NCBI's taxonomy places the organism in Eukaryota, Metazoa, Arthropoda, Insecta, Diptera, Culicidae. The record is from RefSeq and is a predicted model, not a curated record.
AUUCAAUAAUUCUAUAGUUAUUCCAGUUAUUCAUUACGAAAAUAUAAGUGAUUUUUCGUUGCGUCGGUAUACAUUCCAUCCGGCAAGCGUCACCUUAUCAUGGAGGACACCGAACGCAUGAUGAACAAAACGGAAAAGUGCCAUUUGGAGGUCCAGAAAUAAAAGGAACUAUUUCCAAUACGAUCGCCUUGUAGUUGUUCUAUUUCAACAUGAAGAGGAUGACAAGCGCAACGGCCGGAAUUUUUAUGCAUCAUUAUCCAGCACCACUAUACAAGAUACCUCCAAGAAACAGAACAUCAUGGUCUGCCUUUCCCGACUAUUCAUCCAUCGUACCGUCUAAGGAAUAAUAUAUACCCGAACGCCGUGGAACAAUUUCCCACAUUUAUCGCAGUUAUUAAUCAUGCCCGGUAUCAAUUAAAAAUACCUUGGCGCGGACAAAAAAAUACUCGGAUGCUUACGCUCAUUAAGUACGAUUAUGAUCCAAUAGGCAGCUGGCAAGCUAUUGCAUUUGAAGAACGCCGCUCGAUCCGAGAGAAACCGUUAAAUCUCUACAAAUAUUGUAAAAUUAUUAUGUA